GCCUUGUUAGCUUAGUUGGUAGAGCACCCGCUUAGUAAGCGGGAGGUCGUCGGUUCAACUCCGGCAGAAGGCU
This 73-nucleotide transfer RNA is filed under the name Perkinsus marinus ATCC 50983. It matches the Rfam family "tRNA". From Rfam's summary of the family: Transfer RNA (tRNA) molecules are approximately 80 nucleotides in length. Lineage: Eukaryota; Perkinsozoa; Perkinsida; Perkinsidae. The record is from Rfam by way of RNAcentral.